Molecule: ribosomal RNA, 400 nt
Filed under: uncultured bacterium
Lineage: Bacteria
Description: bacterial SSU rRNA
Rfam family: Bacterial small subunit ribosomal RNA
Source: RNAcentral
GGGGAAUCUUAGACAAUGGGGGAAACCCUGAUCUAGCCAUGCCGCGUGAUCGAUGAAGGCCUUAGGGUUGUAAAGAUCUUUCAGUGGGGAAGAUAAUGACUGUACCCACAGAAGAAGCCCCGGCUAACUCCGUGCCAGCAGCCGCGGUAAUACGGAGGGGGCUAGCGUUGUUCGGAAUUACUGGGCGUAAAGCGCACGUAGGCGGAACAGAAAGUCAGAGGUGAAAUCCCAGGGCUCAACCUUGGAACUGCCUUUGAAACUCCUGUUCUUGAGGUCGAGAGAGGUGAGUGGAAUUCCGAGUGUAGAGGUGAAAUUCGUAGAUAUUCGGAGGAACACCAGUGGCGAAGGCGGCUCACUGGCUCGAUACUGACGCUGAGGUGCGAAAGCGUGGGGAGCAAAC